Molecule: ribosomal RNA, 443 nt
Filed under: uncultured bacterium
Lineage: Bacteria
Description: partial 16S ribosomal RNA
Rfam family: Bacterial small subunit ribosomal RNA
Source: RNAcentral
CCUACGGGUGGCAGCAGUGGGGAAUAUUGGUCAAUGGAGGAAACUCUGAACCAGCAACGCCGCGUGAAUGAUGAAGGUCUUCGGAUUGUAAAGUUCUUUUCUAAGGGAAGAAGAAAGUGACGGUACCUUAGGAAUAAGCCUCGGCUAACUACGUGCCAGCAGCCGCGGUAAUACGUAGGAGGCGAGCGUUAUCCGGAAUGACUGGGCGUAAAGGGUGCGUAGGUGGUUUGACAAGUUGGUAGCGUAACUCCGAGGCUCAACCUCGGCACUACUACCAAAACUGUCGGACUUGAGUGCAGGAUGGGCAAUUGGAAUUCCUAGUGUAGCGGUGAAAUGCGUAGAUAUUAGGAGGAACACCAGUGGCGAAGGCGGCUUACUGGACUGUAACUGACGUUGAGGCUCGAAAGCGUGGGGAGCAAACAGGAUUAGAUACCCGAGUAGUC